AAGGAAACUGCUUUGUCUCAAGGAGCUUGUCCAGUCUGCGGCGAGAUGGGAGGCCAUCUGGGCUGGGGGUCACGGGUCCCCAUGUGACUCCUCGAGCCUGAUUAGUGAGCCGUAGGAGGUAGAAAUCCUCCCCCCAAGGAGCUCCGGGCUCCUGGUUUCAGAUACAAUGUCCUUUUUAUAUCUACCCUGUGUCUGGGCCAGGACCUGAUCAUAUGCCUGUUUGGAUUGAGGGCAAAGGGGAGAGAGGGCCAGGAGGGAGAGGAUUAAGAAUUACCCAAGUUCCAUAAACAUGACCGGAGACAGCCCUUAGGACUGGAAUGUGACAAAAGGAAAGUGCCUGGAGAAAUGCUGUGUCUGCAGGAGGGAGAGGGGAACCAGCCAUAACCGGGCUCUGGGCUCUGAGUUUUACAUACAUUCACUAUGCAUGGAAAACCCUGGGAGGACCGAGCAGAAGCCGGACUCUGAAGUCUGAAGUCACACGGCUAAUAGAUGGAGGAGCUGGGAUUUCAUUGUGCGGUUCCCAGGGCCCUUGCUGGCAGGAAGAGGCAUCCAGAUUGCAGAUGUACUUGUUCCUGUUCCUGGCAAGACCCACUUCCCACCGUGACUGACAAGUUUUGGACCCAGUGGCAACGUGGAGUAGAAGAAAGAGCAUGGAUUUUAGAAUGAGACUGGCUCCCCGACUCAUUAGCCUGCAAGUUCCUUAACCUUUGUAAGAUGCAUUUUCCUCCCUUAUUUGUAAAAUGAGGUUUACUAAGAUCUACCCUGAGAAGCUAUCGUAAGGAAUGCCUAAGCUAGUACUGGCACACAGCUGCAGCUCAAUGAAUGGUAGAGAUUUUCCAAACGCAUUGACAUCCUGAUUUGUCAAUCAGUCUUUUGUGAGUUCGUCUUGCAGCCAUGGAGUAGCAACAGAGUCAAGGUUCCCAGCACCACACACCAAAUCCAGUUCCCUUCAGGCUGCAUCUCCGGUUUGUUGGACCUUGGUUUUCCAUGUGUUUUUUUAGCUUUGUUUACUUUCUUGCCACCAGCUCCAAGGAACCCCCAGCCCCUGACUGAGCCAGGCUCUAUCCACCACCCCUUGGAGGGCCAGAGGGAUUCAGGCUCAACCAGCCUUCCUGUCCUUUCUCUCGCUGUGCUCCCAACUUCCAUUUUUCGCUACUGGAUCUAUUGGCCAGAUCUUCCCCAUCAGACCAAAAAGAGGAUGGGAACAACUAUUCAGAUAAUUCAGACACUUAUUCAAGCAAAAAUGAUGAUACUUCUCCUCCUGAAUGAUCCGGAUAGUUGUUUUAAUUCUCAGCUUCACUUUGUCUCUGGAGCCCCAGGCUCUUCUUUGUUCCGUGACUCUAGUUAAAAUUCGGUCCCAGUGAUAAAUAUUUCUGAUCUAAUUGUUUCUUCCACUCCUGUUCCACAGGGGGUGUUUUCAGGGAAAAGGAUCUGUAGGUAAAUGAGAAUUAACUUCAAGCCUGGGCAAUGUUAGAAUCAAAAUAAAGCUGUCAUGGCAGACCUGCUAUCUACAUUUCACUUUCUGGAAGCGCCCCACUCUAUUUCAUCCCUCCCCAACCCCUGACACACGCAGCAGCAAGGAACAAAUCACCAUUUAUUAAACUCUAAUUAUCUCUCCCGUUUCUCAGUACCAUUCUCUGUGUAUGCCUGCCGCACACAAGCCUGUACUGCACUGCCAUUAAAUGAGCACUAGUCUUGUUAGCAUAGCAU
This is a long non-coding RNA of Equus caballus (horse), 1710 nucleotides long. Lineage: Eukaryota; Metazoa; Chordata; Mammalia; Perissodactyla; Equidae. The record is from Ensembl.